CAUGUAGGCGGAAAUGCAAGCUUGGUGUGAAAUACCGGAGCUCAACUUCGGAACAGCAUUGAGAACUGCGUAUCUUGAAUUACUGAAGGGUAACCAGAAUUCCACGUGUAGGGGUGAAAUCUGUAGAUAUGUGGAAGAAUACCAAUGGCGAAGGCAGGUUACCGGCAGCUAAUUGACGCUGAGGUGCGAAAGUGCGGGGAGCGAACAGGA
Molecule: ribosomal RNA, 210 nt
Filed under: uncultured Treponema sp.
Lineage: Bacteria; Pseudomonadati; Spirochaetota; Spirochaetia; Treponematales; Treponemataceae
Description: partial 16S ribosomal RNA
Rfam family: Bacterial small subunit ribosomal RNA
Source: RNAcentral